CUAGGGUGGCUGCAGUGGGGAAUAUUGGACAAUGGGCGAAAGCCUGAUCCAGCCAUGCCGCGUGUGUGAAGAAGGCCUUCGGGUUGUAAAGCACUUUCAGUGGGGAAGAAAGCCUUGGGGCUAAUACCCUCGAGGAAGGACAUCACCCACAGAAGAAGCACCGGCUAACUCCGUGCCAGCAGCCGCGGUAAUACGGAGGGUGCGAGCGUUAAUCGGAAUUACUGGGCGUAAAGCGCGCGUAGGCGGUCUGAUAAGCCGGUUGUGAAAGCCCCGGGCUCAACCUGGGAACGGCAUCCGGAACUGCCAGGCUAGAGUGCAGGAGAGGAAGGUAGAAUUCCCGGUGUAGCGGUGAAAUGCGUAGAGAUCGGGAGGAAUACCAGUGGCGAAGGCGGCCUUCUGGACUGACACUGACGCUGAGGUGCGAAAGCGUGGGUAGCAAACAGGAUUAGAUACCCGAGUAGUC
This 463-nucleotide ribosomal RNA is filed under the name Vreelandella stevensii. RNAcentral's name for it is "partial 16S ribosomal RNA". It matches the Rfam family "Bacterial small subunit ribosomal RNA", at positions 339 to 795 of the family's 1533-position model. Lineage: Bacteria; Pseudomonadati; Pseudomonadota; Gammaproteobacteria; Oceanospirillales; Halomonadaceae. The record is from RNAcentral.